Molecule: ribosomal RNA, 1432 nt
Filed under: Paulownia witches'-broom phytoplasma
Lineage: Bacteria; Bacillati; Mycoplasmatota; Mollicutes; Acholeplasmatales; Acholeplasmataceae
Description: bacterial SSU rRNA
Rfam family: Bacterial small subunit ribosomal RNA
Source: RNAcentral
CAUGCAAGUCGAACGGAAGUUUAAGCAAUUAAACUUUAGUGGCGAACGGGUGAGUAACGCGUAAGCAAUCUGCCCCUAAGACGAGGAUAACAGUUGGAAACGACUGCUAAGACUGGAUAGGAGACAAGAAGGCAUCUUCUUGUUUUUAAAAGACCUAGCAAUAGGUAUGCUUAGGGAGGAGCUUGCGUCACAUUAGUUAGUUGGUGGGGUAAAGGCCUACCAAGACUAUGAUGUGUAGCCGGGCUGAGAGGUUGAACGGCCACAUUGGGACUGAGACACGGCCCAAACUCCUACGGGAGGCAGCAGUAGGGAAUUUUCGGCAAUGGAGGAAACUCUGACCGAGCAACGCCGCGUGAACGAUGAAGUAUUUCGGUACGUAAAGUUCUUUUAUUAGGGAAGAAUAAAUGAUGGAAAAAUCAUUCUGACGGUACCUAAUGAAUAAGCCCCGGCUAACUAUGUGCCAGCAGCCGCGGUAAUACAUAGGGGGCAAGCGUUAUCCGGAAUUAUUGGGCGUAAAGGGUGCGUAGGCGGUUAAAUAAGUUUAUGGUCUAAGUGCAAUGCUCAACAUUGUGAUGCUAUAAAAACUGUUUAGCUAGAGUAAGAUAGAGGCAAGUGGAAUUCCAUGUGUAGUGGUAAAAUGCGUAAAUAUAUGGAGGAACACCAGUAGCGAAGGCGGCUUGCUGGGUCUUUACUGACGCUGAGGCACGAAAGCGUGGGGAGCAAACAGGAUUAGAUACCCUGGUAGUCCACGCCGUAAACGAUGAGUACUAAACGUUGGUUAAAACCAGUGUUGAAGUUAACACAUUAAGUACUCCGCCUGAGUAGUACGUACGCAAGUAUGAAACUUAAAGGAAUUGACGGGACUCCGCACAAGCGGUGGAUCAUGUUGUUUAAUUCGAAGGUACCCGAAAAACCUCACCAGGUCUUGACAUGCUUCUGCAAAGCUGUAGAAACACAGUGGAGGUUAUCAGUUGCACAGGUGGUGCAUGGUUGUCGUCAGCUCGUGUCGUGAGAUGUUGGGUUAAGUCCCGCAACGAGCGCAACCCUUAUUGUUAGUUACCAGCACGUAAUGGUGGGGACUUUAGCAAGACUGCCAGUGAUAAAUUGGAGGAAGGUGGGGACGACGUCAAAUCAUCAUGCCCCUUAUGACCUGGGCUACAAACGUGAUACAAUGGCUGUUACAAAGGGUAGCUGAAGCGCAAGUUUUUGGCGAAUCUCAAAAAAACAGUCUCAGUUCGGAUUGAAGUCUGCAACUCGACUUCAUGAAGUUGGAAUCGCUAGUAAUCGCGAAUCAGCAUGUCGCGGUGAAUACGUUCUCGGGGUUUGUACACACCGCCCGUCAAACCACGAAAGUUGGCAAUACCCAAAGCCGGUGGCCUAACUUCGCAAGAAGAGGGAACCGUCUAAGGUAGGGUCGAUGAUUGGGGUUAAG